CCUGGUUGAUCCUGCCAGUAACAUAUGCUUGUCUCAAAGAUUAAGCCAUGCAGGUCUAAGUACACACGGCCGGUACAGUGAAACUGCGAAUGGCUCAUUAAAUCAGUUAUGGUCCCUUUGAUCGCUCCACCCGGUACUUGGAUAACUGUGGCAAUUCCAGAGCUAAUACAUGCAAACGAGCGCCGACCCUCCCUCACGGGCGGGGACGCGUGCAUUUAUCAGAUCCAAAACCCAUCCGGGGUCGGGGAUCCGUGCCUCGCCCCGGUCCCUUUGGUGACUCUAGAUAACCUCGGGCCGAUCGCGCGCCCUCUGCGGCGGCGACGACUCUUUCGAAUGUCUGCCCUAUCAACUUUCGAUGGUACUUUAGGCGCCUACCAUGGUGACCACGGGUAACGGGGAAUCAGGGGUUCGAUUCCGGAGAGGGAGCCUGAGAAACGGCUACCACAUCCAAGGAAGGCAGCAGGCGCGCAAAUUACCCAUUUCCGACUCGGAGAGGUAGUGACGAAAAAUAACAAUACAGGUCUCUUUCGAGGCCCUGUAAUUGGAAUGAGCGUAUCCUAAACCCAUGGGCGAGGACCCAUUGGAGGGCAAGUCUGGUGCCAGCAGCCGCGGUAAUUCCAGCUCCAAUAGCGUAUAUUAAAGUUGCUGCAGUUAAAAAAGCUCGUAGUUGGAUCUCGGGAGUGGGCUGGCGGUCCGCCGCGAGGCGAGCCACCGCCUGUCCCGGACCCUGCCUCCCGGCGCCCCCGGAUGCCCUUAACUGGGUGUCCGGUCACCUCGGGGCCCGGAGCGUUUACUUUGAAAAAAUUAGAGUGUUCAAAGCAGGCCGCCUGUCGCCGCUGAAUACCGCAGCUAGGAAUAAUGGAAUAGGACUCCGGUUCUAUUUUGUGGGUUUCUGGAACCCGGGGGCCAUGAUUAAUACUUGUUACUUCCAAACAAUUGAAACCUGGUUAGAGACAUGGAAUAAGCUCAUUAUAAUAGGGACACAGAAAAGCAUGACUGGACCGAACACUUGACUUGUGUUAGUCAAGUGUUCGGUUUUUUGUGUGUGUAUGUGUUCUGUUUUGCUCUCUCCCUUCCUCUCUUUCAAAUGCUGAUGACUAACAGAUCGAGUUCAGUUAGCUGAUGAUUCUGCUGACGAUGGCACUGUCCUGAUUGGUUCAUUAGAGAAAAUGUUUGGAGUUAAAAGGCAGAGCUGAGACGUCUGUGCUGUGGAGGCUUGGAGUAGGAGGUCUUUUUGUAGUUGGUCCUUAGCAUAGGUGGGUUGUGUUUAGGAGUUAGUAUGUUUUUGUUUAUGUUGGCCUUGACCCCUCCUGAAGCUCUGUUUGCUUCCUUGUGUUCAAUAAAUUUAAUUAUGAUUUGCAUGGAUUAUGGUUUUGUGUGAGUCAGUCGAAGGGGAAAGCUCCCUCCAUUCAUCCACCACUUUUUUAGUACUACUUCCCAUCCCUAAAAUGGGGAGGUAUGUAAACAAACACAUUAUGAUGAGGAAAAAUCAUUUCCCAACACAAGUUCAACCUUCACCAAAGGAAAAUGAAUGAUAAAAAGAAAUAAUAUGUUGGCUACAUAUGUUACUUUUACCUUUGAAUACAUUUUUUACUGAAUUUUGUUUUCAGUUUCAGCACCAUAAAUCUAACAUAUGCAUGUUGUAAAUAUAGAAAGGGGCAGAAAUAAACAAACUUUUCAGACAUUAAUGUGAUAACGGUUUAUUG
RNAcentral lists this ribosomal RNA (1706 nucleotides) under Carassius auratus (goldfish). RNAcentral's name for it is "bacterial SSU rRNA". The stretch from base 2 to 1059 matches the Rfam family "Eukaryotic small subunit ribosomal RNA", at positions 4 to 1116 of the family's 1831-position model. Lineage: Eukaryota; Metazoa; Chordata; Actinopteri; Cypriniformes; Cyprinidae. The record is from RNAcentral.